This 1141-nucleotide ribosomal RNA is filed under the name Candidatus Synechococcus spongiarum. RNAcentral's name for it is "bacterial SSU rRNA". It matches the Rfam family "Bacterial small subunit ribosomal RNA", at positions 376 to 1533 of the family's 1533-position model. Lineage: Bacteria; Bacillati; Cyanobacteriota; Cyanophyceae; Synechococcales; Synechococcaceae. The record is from RNAcentral.
CGAAAGCCUGACGGAGCAACGCCGCGUGAGGGAUGAAGGCCUUUGGGCUGUAAACCUCUUUUCUCAAGGAAGAAGAUCUGACGGUACUUGAGGAAUAAGCCACGGCUAAUUCCGUGCCAGCAGCCGCGGUAAUACGGGAGUGGCAAGCGUUAUCCGGAAUUAUUGGGCGUAAAGCGUCCGCAGGCGGCCGUUUAAGUCUGUUGUUAAAUCGUGGAGCUCAACUCCAUCACGGCAAUGGAAACUGUUCGGCUUGAGUGUGGUAGGGGCAGAGGGAAUUUCCGGUGUAGCGGUGAAAUGCGUAGAUAUCGGGAAGAACACCAGUGGCGAAAGCGCUCUGCUAGGCCAUUACUGACGCUCAUGGACGAAAGCCAGGGGAGCGAAAGGGAUUAGAUACCCCUGUAGUCCUGGCCGUAAACGAUGAACACUAGAUGUUGGGGGAAUCGACCCCCUCGGUGUCGUAGCUAACGCGUUAAGUGUUCCGCCUGGGGAGUACGCACGCAAGUGUGAAACUCAAAGGAAUUGACGGGGGCCCGCACAAGCGGUGGAGUAUGUGGUUUAAUUCGAUGCAACGCGAAGAACCUUACCAAGGCUUGACAUCCUGCGAAUCUCCAAGAAAUUGGAGAGUGCCUUCGGGAACGCAGUGACAGGUGGUGCAUGGCUGUCGUCAGCUCGUGUCGUGAGAUGUUGGGUUAAGUCCCGCAACGAGCGCAACCCACGUUUUUAGUUGCCAGCAUUCAGUUGGGCACUCUAGAAAGACUGCCGGUGACAAACCGGAGGAAGGUGUGGACGACGUCAAGUCAUCAUGCCCCUUACGCCUUGGGCUACACACGUACUACAAUGCUGCGGACAAAGAGUAGCGAUCUUGCAAAAGUUAGCUAAUCUCGUAAACCGUGGCUCAGUUCAGAUCGUAGGCUGCAACUCGCCUACGUGAAGUAGGAAUCGCUAGUAAUCGCAGGUCAGCAUACUGCGGUGAAUACGUUCCCGGGCCUUGUACACACCGCCCGUCACACCAUGGAAGUUGGCCAUGCCCGAAGUCGUUACUCUAACCUUUUGGAAGAGGGCGCCGAAGGCAGGGCUAAUGACUGGGGUGAAGUCGUAACAAGGUAGCCGUAGCGGAAGCUGCGGCUGGAUCACCUCCUAA